CUCCAUAUCAAAUAAACCACAGAAAUACGCGAAAAUGGCAGCCAAAUAUAUAUUAUAAUGGUUGUUCUCUUAGUGGUGUGCAAAUUCAAUAUAAGAAUACAGAAAAACUUUGGAAGUUAAGAAUAAAACACAACAACAACAACAACAUACCCACUGAAAUCCCACAAGUUGGGUCUGGGAAGAAGUUUGGAUUAAACCACAAACAUUAAUAUGUAGAUAAUCAUUCAAAACAUAAUAUAAGCAAGCAGCUUCAUUCAAAAGGAAAUGCAACCUAUUCAACUUUUGAAUACUAGUACUACUUAAAAUAGAAGAAUUCUGGUGAUAAAAAAAAACUAAAAGUCAUGACAAUCAUAUUAUGAACUUUAUUUAUGAACUUAAUUAGAAGUUAAAAAGUCAUUAAUAUGUGAGUUAAAAUUUAAGUCCUUAAGAGAUAUAAAAGUUAGACCUUUAAAAGGAAAAGGCACAAUACAUAAACAUAUCCUUUAACUUGGCUUCAGAUCACAUCUAUGACCUCCA
RNAcentral lists this long non-coding RNA (516 nucleotides) under Capsicum annuum. RNAcentral's name for it is "long non-coding RNA (CANN_LNC008954)". The record is from RNAcentral. Lineage: Eukaryota; Viridiplantae; Streptophyta; Magnoliopsida; Solanales; Solanaceae.